GUUCCUGAAACAAGUAAUCAAGAAUAGGCCGUGCCAGUGUUAACCAGCCUAUCCUGGAUUACUUGAACCAGGCAG
Molecule: non-coding RNA, 75 nt
Organism: Xyrichtys novacula (pearly razorfish)
Lineage: Eukaryota; Metazoa; Chordata; Actinopteri; Labriformes; Labridae
Source: the annotation of a GenBank genome assembly